GGUUAAGUGACUAAGCGUACACGGUGGAUGCCUUGGCAGUCAGAGGCGAUGAAAGACGUAGUAACUUGCGAUAAGCCCAGAUUAGGUAGUAACAACCAUUUGAGUCUGGGAUUUCUGAAUGGGGAAACCCACGUGCAUAAGCACGUAUCCUUACCUGAAUACAUAGGGUAAGGAGGCGAACCGGGGGAACUGAAACAUCUAAGUACCCCGAGGAAAAGAAAUCAACCGAGAUUCCGAAAGUAGCGGCGAGCGAAAUUGGACUAGCCCUUAAGCUUUACACGCGUUAGACGAACGGUCUGGAAAGUCCGACGAUACAGGGUGAUAGUCCCGUAGUUGACGACGUGUGUUCAGUGAAAUCGAGUAGGGCGGGACACGUGAUAUCCUGUCUGAAUAUGGGGGGACCAUCCUCCAGGCUAAAUACUACUGACUGACCGAUAGUGAACCAGUACCGUGAGGGAAAGCGAAAGACCCCUGUGAGGGGAGUGAAAUAGACCUGAACCGUGUACGUACAAGCAGUAGAGCAGCUUUGUCCUGUGACUGCGUACCUUUUGUAUAAUGGGUCAGCGACUUAUAUUCAGUGGCAAGGUUAACCAUCUAGGGGAGCCGUAGGGAAACCGAGUCUUAACUGGGCGUUCAGUCUCUGGAUAUAGACCCGAAACCAGGUGAUCUAGCCAUGGGCAGGUUGAAGGUUGAGUAACAUCAACUGGAGGACCGAACCGACUAAUGUUGAAAAAUUAGCGGAUGACUUGUGGCUAGGGGUGAAAGGCCAAUCAAACCUGGAGAUAGCUGGUUCUCCCCGAAAGCUAUUUAGGUAGCGCCUCGGACGAAUACUACUGGGGGUAGAGCACUGUUAAGGCUAGGGGGUCAUCCCGACUUACCAACCCUUUGCAAACUCCGAAUACCAGUAAGUACUAUCCGGGAGACACACGGCGGGUGCUAACGUCCGUCGUGGAGAGGGAAACAACCCAGACCGCCAGCUAAGGUCCCAAAUUACUACUAAGUGGGAAACGAUGUGGGAAGGCUCAGACAGCCAGGAUGUUGGCUUAGAAGCAGCCAUCAUUUAAAGAAAGCGUAAUAGCUCACUGGUCGAGUCGGCCUGCGCGGAAGAUGUAACGGGGCUAAGUAGUAAACCGAAGCUGCGGCAAUGUGCUUUUGCACAUUGGGUAGGGGAGCGUUCUGUAAGCGGUUGAAGGUGUGUGGUAACGCAUGCUGGACGUAUCAGAAGUGCGAAUGCUGACAUGAGUAACGAUAAAGGGGGUGAAAAACCUCCUCGCCGGAAGACCAAGGGUUCCUGUCCAACGUUAAUCGGGGCAGGGUAAGUCGACCCCUAAGGCGAGGCCGAAAGGCGUAGUCGAUGGGAAACGGGUUAAUAUUCCCGUACUUCUUACAAUUGCGAUGGGGGGACGGAGAAGGCUAGGUGGGCCUGGCGACGGUUGUCCAGGUUCAAGUGCGUAGGCUUAAGAGUUAGGUAAAUCCGGCUCUUUUUAAGGCUGAGACACGACGUCGAGCAUCUACGGAUGUGAAGUCAUUGAUGCCAUGCUUCCAGGAAAAGCCUCUAAGCUUCAGAUUGUAAGGAAUCGUACCCCAAACCGACACAGGUGGUCGGGUAGAGAAUACCAAGGCGCUUGAGAGAACUCGGGUGAAGGAACUAGGCAAAAUGGUACCGUAACUUCGGGAGAAGGUACGCUCUCGACGGUGAAGUCCCUCGCGGAUGGAGCUAUUGAGAGUCGCAGAUACCAGGUGGCUGCAACUGUUUAUUAAAAACACAGCACUGUGCAAAAUCGUAAGAUGACGUAUACGGUGUGACGCCUGCCCGGUGCCGGAAGGUUAAUUGAUGGGGUUAGACUUCGGUCGAAGCUCUUGAUCGAAGCCCCGGUAAACGGCGGCCGUAACUAUAACGGUCCUAAGGUAGCGAAAUUCCUUGUCGGGUAAGUUCCGACCUGCACGAAUGGCGUAAUGAUGGCCACGCUGUCUCCACCCGAGACUCAGUGAAAUUGAAAUCGCUGUGAAGAUGCAGUGUACCCGCGGCUAGACGGAAAGACCCCGUGAACCUUUACUACAGCUUGGCACUGAACAUUGACCCUACAUGUGUAGGAUAGGUGGGAGGCUUUGAAGCACGUACGCCAGUAUGUGUGGAGCCGUCCUUGAAAUACCACCCUUGUAGUGUUGAUGUUCUAACGUCGACCCCUUAUCGGGGUUGCGGACAGUGCCUGGUGGGUAGUUUGACUGGGGCGGUCUCCUCCCAAAGAGUAACGGAGGAGCACGAAGGUGGGCUAAUCACGGUUGGACAUCGUGAGGUUAGUGCAAUGGCAUAAGCCCGCUUGACUGCGAGAAUGACAAUUCGAGCAGGUGCGAAAGCAGGUCAUAGUGAUCCGGUGGUUCUGAAUGGAAGGGCCAUCGCUCAACGGAUAAAAGGUACUCCGGGGAUAACAGGCUGAUACCGCCCAAGAGUUCAUAUCGACGGCGGUGUUUGGCACCUCGAUGUCGGCUCAUCACAUCCUGGGGCUGAAGUCGGUCCCAAGGGUAUGGCUGUUCGCCAUUUAAAGUGGUACGCGAGCUGGGUUUAGAACGUCGUGAGACAGUUCGGUCCCUAUCUGCCGUGGGCGUUGGAAGAUUGAAGGGGGCUGCUCCUAGUACGAGAGGACCGGAGUGGACGAACCUCUGGUGUUCGGGUUGUGUCGCCAGACGCAUUGCCCGGUAGCUAAGUUCGGAAUCGAUAACCGCUGAAAGCAUCUAAGCGGGAAGCGAGCCCUGAGAUGAGUCUUCCCUGAUACUUUAAGUAUCCUAAAGGGUUGUCGGAGACUACGACGUUGAUAGGUCAGGUGUGUAAGUGCUGUGAGGCAUUGAGCUAACUGAUACUAAUUGCCCGUGAGGCUUAACCAU
This 2883-nucleotide ribosomal RNA is filed under the name Vibrio parahaemolyticus K5030. Its description in RNAcentral is "bacterial LSU rRNA". It matches the Rfam family "Bacterial large subunit ribosomal RNA". The record is from RNAcentral. Lineage: Bacteria; Pseudomonadati; Pseudomonadota; Gammaproteobacteria; Vibrionales; Vibrionaceae.